CAGUAGCCGCGGUAAUACGUAGGGUGCGAGCGUUAACCGGAAUUACUGGGCGUAAAGCGUGCGCAGGCGGUUAUAUAAGACAGAUGUGAAAUCCCCGGGCUCAACCUGGGACCUGCAUUUGUGACUGUAUAGCUAGAGUACGGUAGAGGGGGAUGGAAUUCCGCGUGUAGCAGUGAAAUGCGUAGAUAUGCGGAGGAACACCGAUGGCGAAAGCAAUCCCCUGGACCUGUACUGACGCUCAUGCACGAAAGCGUGGGGAGCAAACAGGAUUAGAUACCCCUGUAGUCCCUGUCUCUUAUAC
This 301-nucleotide ribosomal RNA is filed under the name uncultured bacterium. RNAcentral describes it as "partial 16S ribosomal RNA". It matches the Rfam family "Bacterial small subunit ribosomal RNA", at positions 509 to 807 of the family's 1533-position model. The record is from RNAcentral.